This 461-nucleotide ribosomal RNA is filed under the name uncultured bacterium. RNAcentral's name for it is "partial 16S ribosomal RNA". It matches the Rfam family "Bacterial small subunit ribosomal RNA", at positions 458 to 917 of the family's 1533-position model. The record is from RNAcentral.
UACCCCCUAUGAUGACGGUACCGUUUGUAAGCUCCGGCUAACUCCGUGCCAGCAGCCGCGGUAAUACGGGGGGAGCAAGCGUUGUUCGGAUUUACUGGGCGUAAAGGGCGCGUAGGCGGCCAGCACAAGUCAGUUGUGAAAUCUCCGAGCUUAACUCGGAAAGGUCAACUGAUACUGUGCGGCUANAGUGCGGAAGGGGCAACUGGAAUUCUUGGUGUAGCGGNGAAAUGCGUAGAUAUCNNGAGGAACACCUGCGGCGAAGGCGGGUUGCUGGGNCGACACUGACGCUGANGCGCGAAAGCUAGGGGAGCGAACGGNAUUAGAUACCCCGGUAGUCCUAGCCUUNAACNAUGAAUGCUUGGUGUCUGGGGUUAUAAAGUCCCCGGGUGCCGUCNCUAACGCUUUAANCAUUCCGCCUGGGGAGUACGGUCGCAAGACUGAAACUCAAAGGAAUUGACGGA